AUCAACUCGUUUGAGUGAAGAUGGAUCUAUUGCUGUAGCCAGCAAUAAAAGACAUGAAAGAGUACACGUUAAUUACACUGUACAACUAACAUUCU
Molecule: unclassified non-coding RNA, 95 nt
Filed under: Wickerhamiella kurtzmanii
Lineage: Eukaryota; Fungi; Ascomycota; Dipodascomycetes; Dipodascales; Trichomonascaceae
Description: Wickerhamiella sp. UFMG-CM-Y6199 miscellaneous RNA
Source: RNAcentral